Solanum dulcamara is the source of this 2335-nucleotide RNA transcript. RefSeq lists it as uncharacterized. The transcript is spliced from 12 exons. The record is from RefSeq and is a predicted model, not a curated record. Lineage: Eukaryota; Viridiplantae; Streptophyta; Magnoliopsida; Solanales; Solanaceae.
UUUCACUCAAUGUGCAUGGUGUUUGUAAUGUGUAUAUAUUCUGACCAACUCCAGCUUAUUCUCAACAAAAUUGCUUGUUUCAAAGUAGAAGCUCAACAAAUUGUCCAAGAAGAAGGCACAAAAAGAAUGGGAAGAUUUUCAAUAUCCAUGAAGGGUUUUGUGUUGUUCUUCCUAUGGGCAGUGAUUGCAGAAGCAGAGUACCUAAAAUACAAAGACCCAAAACAGCCAAUGGUUACAAGAAUUAAGGACUUGAUGAAAAGGAUGACUCUUGAGGAAAAGAUUGGUCAGAUGUCUCAGAUUGAUGACAGAUUAGCCUCAGCUAAUGUUACGAAGCAAUAUUUCAUUGGGAGUGUGUUGAAUGUUCCAGUGCAUGUUGCUGCACCUAAGGCCUCUGCUGAGGAUUGGGUGAAUAAGGUAAACAAGAUUCAAAAGGAUGCUCUUUCGACCCGCCUUGCUAUUCCAAUGAUUUAUGGGAUUGAUGCAAUUCAUGGACACAACAAUGUCUAUAAUGCUACUAUCUUUCCUCACAAUAUUGGACUUGGUGUCACCAGGGACCCUGCUCUUGUCAAACGGAUUGGUGCUGCAACUGCACUUGAAGUUAGAGCUACAGGAAUCCCAUAUGCUUUUGCUCCCUGCAUUGCAGUUUGCAGAGAUCCUAGGUGGGGCCGUUGUUAUGAAAGCUACAGUGAAGAUGUCAAAAUUGUGCGAGCCAUGACAGAGAUAAUUCCUGGUUUACAAGGAGAUGUGCCAGCUAAUUUUAGCAAGGGUGUUCCCUUUGUUGGAGGAAAGAGGUCACGGGUUCAAGCCUUGGAAACAGCCUCUGGCAGAAAUGCAAGGUCAAAGGUAGCAGCCUGCGCCAAGCAUUAUGUGGGAGAUGGAGGCACACUGAGGGGAAUUGAUGAAAAUAACACUGUAAUAAACUCAACUACAUUACAUGGCAUCCACAUGCCUGCAUAUAUUGAUUCCAUCAUAAAGGAUGUUUCAACGGUGAUGGUGUCUUACUCGAGCUUGAAUGGGGAAAAGAUGCACGCUAACCGAAAACUUGUCACUGGCUACCUAAAGAACCAGCUCAACUUCAGGGGUUUCAUCAUUUCUGAUUCGGAAGGCAUUGACCGGAUUACAAGCCCACCUCAUGCUAAUUACACUUAUUCAGUAUUAGCUGGAAUUUUAGCAGGAAUUGACAUGGUUAUGAUUCCAGUGAAUUAUGCAGAAUUUAUUGGUAAUCUGACUCGACUAGUGAAAGAUAAUAUCAUUCCCAUGAGCAGAAUUGAUGAUGCUGUAAAGCGGAUAUUGAGAGUUAAGUUUACCAUGGGUCUCUUUGAGAACCCACUGGCUGACCUAGGCUUGGUAAACCAACUUGGUAGCCAGGAGCAUCGAGAGUUGGCAAGGGAAGCAGUAAGGAAAUCACUUGUCCUUUUGAAGAAUGGCAAGAGCACUAGUCGGCCAUUACUUCCCAUUCCAAAGAAAGCACCAAAGAUACUUGUAGCUGGAACUCAUGCUGACAAUUUGGGUUACCAAUGUGGAGGCUGGACAAUACAUUGGCAGGGCGUCGCAGGCAAUGAUUUAAUAGUUGAGACCUACAACUUGUGAAGCGGAUUGGGGCUGCAACUACCCUCUGAGGGCAGAACCACAGGAAUCCCUUACACUUUUGCACGGUGCAUCGCAUAAAACACUUUGAACAUAUUUUCAAUCUUAAACCUCCUAUUAUGGAUCUCACAAUUCUUGAUUGCAUUCCUACUUGUAUUGUCAUGAGGAUAAUACAAUUAGCAGUGUGAUCCUUUGGACAAUGCCAAACCAAGGAAGUAUCAAUAAUAUUAAUACCUAUGGGAGAUACACAGAUCAUAAUGACAAUGCAGGGAUUGGGGGGAUAGCCAGAGACUGCAAUGGGGAUUUUAUUUCCGCUUUUACUAUUCCUGGACAGUGCCAAAAUCAUAAUAUAGCAGAGGCUCUGGCUGCUCAAUAUGUAGGCCAAUGGAUCAAAGACAACAAUCACAGGUUGUGCACAAUUGAGAUAAAAAAACGCUUUGAUUAUAGUGAAUAUGCCGAAGAAGAAGAAGACCAACAACCUGAAUUUGAAGACUUUUGUGGAUGAAACUGUGGGCUUGAUUGAUGGAGCAGAUAUUACCUUCUCACACUGUUAUAGAGAAGCUAAUAAAGUGGCGGAUUAUCUAGCAAAGUUAGCCGCUACUCUUGAUCCUGAACUAGUGUUAUAAACUUUAGACCAUAUCUUUCUGGUUUCCAGAACAGCUGCAACUUGUGCACUGUUUGAAGAAUGAUCUACAGAUCCGCUGUGCACGUAAAGAUUAAUGCGACUUUUGAAUUUAUUUUAGAGAUC